RNAcentral lists this ribosomal RNA (380 nucleotides) under uncultured Methanomicrobiales archaeon. Its description in RNAcentral is "bacterial SSU rRNA". It matches the Rfam family "Archaeal small subunit ribosomal RNA", at positions 960 to 1338 of the family's 1478-position model. The record is from RNAcentral. Lineage: Archaea; Methanobacteriati; Methanobacteriota; Methanomicrobia; Methanomicrobiales.
UGAAGACUCUACUUGACUAGCUGAGAGGAGGUGCAUGGCCGUCGUCAGUUCGUACUGUGAAGCAUCCUGUUAAGUCAGGCAACGAGCGAGACCCACGCCAACAGUUGCCAGCUCGUCCUCCGGGGAUGGUGGGGACACUGUUGGGACCGCCUCUGCUAAAGAGGAGGAAGGAAUGGGCAACGGUAGGUCAGCAUGCCCCGAAUUAUCUGGGCUACACGCGGGCUACAAUGGGUGGGACAAUGGGUAUCGACACCGAAAGGUGAAGGCAAUCUCCUAAACCCAUCCGUAGUUCGGAUUGUGGGCUGCAACUCGCCCACAUGAAGCUGGAAUCUGUAGUAAUCGUGUCUCAAAAUGGCACGGCGAAUAUGUCCCUGCUCCUU